This is a small nucleolar RNA of Ictidomys tridecemlineatus (thirteen-lined ground squirrel), 127 nucleotides long. Its record names the gene SNORA72. It matches the Rfam family "Small nucleolar RNA SNORA72". From Rfam's summary of the family: U72 is a member of the H/ACA class of snoRNAs. The snoRNA gene is located in intron 4 of the ribosomal L30 protein gene in human, mouse and chicken. The record is from Ensembl. NCBI's taxonomy places the organism in Eukaryota, Metazoa, Chordata, Mammalia, Rodentia, Sciuridae.
CUGUAAUAUUUUUGCUGUUCUGAGUUAGUAGUAUCGGGACAGGCUAAACAUUCACUACAAAGACCAUGCAGUGUCCCUAGACCUAAUUCUUUCACUGGGUCUGGUUUUGUAAAUGCUGGUGAUAAAC